CUGUUUCAGAUCUACAUCUGGC
Molecule: microRNA, 22 nt
Filed under: Spodoptera frugiperda (fall armyworm)
Lineage: Eukaryota; Metazoa; Arthropoda; Insecta; Lepidoptera; Noctuidae
Description: sfr-miR-10506-5p
Source: miRBase by way of RNAcentral